This is a small nucleolar RNA of Ornithorhynchus anatinus (platypus), 138 nucleotides long. Lineage: Eukaryota; Metazoa; Chordata; Mammalia; Monotremata; Ornithorhynchidae. The record is from RefSeq and is a predicted model, not a curated record.
CCCCUCUCAGGAUGGCACCUGGAGAGUUUCCAGUCCUCUACCAGUCUCGGCUACGGGAGGGAGAGCCAAGCAGAGGCCCGUCCAUUCCAUUCCUAGCUUGGUCAGUGGCUAGGGAGUGGCAGGCCGUCCGCUACAAGG